This 497-nucleotide ribosomal RNA is filed under the name uncultured bacterium. RNAcentral describes it as "partial 16S ribosomal RNA". It matches the Rfam family "Bacterial small subunit ribosomal RNA", at positions 28 to 507 of the family's 1533-position model. The record is from RNAcentral.
GAUGAACGCUGGCGGCGUGCCUAAUACAUGCAAGUCGAGCGAACGGACGAGAAGCUUGCUUUUCUGAUGUUAGCGGCGGACGGGUGAGUAACACGUGGAUAACCUACCUAUAAGACUGGGAUAACUUCGGGAAACCGGAGCUAAUACCGGAUAAUAUUUUGAACCGCAUGGUUCAAAAGUGAAAGACGGUCUUGCUGUCACUUAUAGAUGGAUCCGCGCUGCAUUAGCUAGUUGGUAAGGUAACGGCUUACCAAGGCAACGAUGCAUAGCCGACCUGAGAGGGUGAUCGGCCACACUGGAGCUGAGACACGGUCCAGACUCCUACGGGAGGCAGCAGUAGGGAAUCUUCCGCAAUGGGCGAAAGCCUGACGGAGCAACGCCGCGUGAGUGAUGAAGGUCUUCGGAUCGUAAAACUCUGUUAUUAGGGAAGAACAUAUGUGUAAGUAACUGUGCACAUCUUGACGGUACCUAAUCAGAGAGCCACGGCUAACUACGUG